AUUGAACGCUGGCGGCAGGCCUAACACAUGCAAGUCGAGCGGAUGAAGGGAGCUUGCUCCUGGAUUCAGCGGCGGACGGGUGAGUAAUGCCUAGGGAUCUGCCUGGUAGUGGGGGAUAACGUCCAGAAACGGGCGCUAAUACCGCAUACGUCCUGAGGGAGAAAGUGGGGGAUCUUCGGACCUCACGCUAUCAGAUGAGCCUAGGUCGGAUUAGCUAGUUGGUGGGGUAAAGGCCUACCAAGGCGACGAUCCGUAACUGGUCUGAGAGGAUGAUCAGUCACACUGGAACUGAGACACGGUCCAGACUCCUACGGGAGGCAGCAGUGGGGAAUAUUGGACAAUGGGCGAAAGCCUGAUCCAGCCAUGCCGCGUGUGUGAAGAAGGUCUUCGGAUUGUAAAGCACUUUAAGUUGGGAGGAAGGGCAGUAAGUUAAUACCUUGCUGUUUUGACGUUACCAACAGAAUAAGCACCGGCUAACUUCGUG
Molecule: ribosomal RNA, 484 nt
Filed under: uncultured bacterium
Lineage: Bacteria
Description: partial 16S ribosomal RNA
Rfam family: Bacterial small subunit ribosomal RNA
Source: RNAcentral